CAUAUCCUCUGAUAAAUAGGUUUCCUUACUUACGCUGUAAGAAGGAUGAAAAGGGAAGUUCGGAAAUACCGACGCGGUCCCGCCACUGUAAUUGGAAGUAUUCCACAAAGUCCACUGUCGAAUGAUGGGAAGGCGUGGAACUACAGAGCCAUAAGCCAGGAGACCUGCCUAUUUAUCAAAACGGGC
RNAcentral lists this non-coding RNA (186 nucleotides) under Desulfosporosinus youngiae. RNAcentral also lists the same sequence under 1 other name. Lineage: Bacteria; Bacillati; Bacillota; Clostridia; Eubacteriales; Desulfitobacteriaceae. The record is from RNAcentral.